CCUACGGGUGGCUGCAGUCGAGGAUCUUCGGCAAUGGGCGAAAGCCUGACCGAGCGACGCCGCGUGUGGGAUGAAGGCCUUCGGGUUGUAAACCACUGUCGUAGAGGAGGCCUAUUCUAGGAGGAAGUCAGGGCUAAGUUCGUGCCAGCAGCCGCGGUAAGACGAACCUGACAAACGUUAUUCGGAAUUACUGGGCUUAAAGGGUGCGUAGGCGGCGUGGCAAGUUGGGUGUGAAAUCCCUCGGCUCAACCGAGGAACUGCGCUCAAUACUGCCAUGCUCGAGGGAGACAGAGGUGAGCGGAACUUAGGGUGGAGCGGUGAAAUGCGUUGAUAUCCUAAGGAACACCGGUAGCGAAAGCGGCUCACUGGGUUUUCUGACGCUGAGGCACGAAAGCUAGGGUAGCGAACGGGAUUAGAUACCCUUGUAGUC
This 430-nucleotide ribosomal RNA is filed under the name uncultured bacterium. Its description in RNAcentral is "partial 16S ribosomal RNA". It matches the Rfam family "Bacterial small subunit ribosomal RNA", at positions 338 to 795 of the family's 1533-position model. The record is from RNAcentral.